AGAGUUAGCUUAGCUGGGAGCUUCAUGGAGACAGCUAAAGUUAAUGUUAGCUGCUCUACAGCUGUCAGUUAGCAACGACUUCAUAAUACAUUUU
Molecule: long non-coding RNA, 94 nt
Organism: Etheostoma spectabile (orangethroat darter)
Lineage: Eukaryota; Metazoa; Chordata; Actinopteri; Perciformes; Percidae
Exons: 3
Source: RefSeq, a predicted model, not a curated record